This 1843-nucleotide ribosomal RNA is filed under the name Arthrolips sp. CO949. RNAcentral's name for it is "SSU rRNA". It matches the Rfam family "Eukaryotic small subunit ribosomal RNA". The record is from RNAcentral. Lineage: Eukaryota; Metazoa; Arthropoda; Insecta; Coleoptera; Corylophidae.
UCAUAUGCUUGUCUCAAAGAUUAAGCCAUGCAUGUCUCAGUACAAGCCAAAUUAAGGUGAAACCGCGAAAGGCUCAUUAAAUCAGUUAUGGUUCCUUAGAUCGUACCACUUUUACUUGGAUAACUGUGGUAAUUCUAGAGCUAAUACAUGCAAAUAGAGCUCCAACCGGAAACGGAAGGAGUGCUUUUAUUAGAUCAAAACCAAUCGGUAGCUUGCUAUCGUACAAUUUGGUGAAUCUGAAUAACUUUAUGCUGAUCGCACGGUCUUGCACCGGCGACGCAUCUUUCAAAUGUCUGCCUUAUCAACUGUCGAUGGUAGGUUCUGCGCCUACCAUGGUUGUAACGGGUAACGGGGAAUCAGGGUUCGAUUCCGGAGAGGGAGCCUGAGAAACGGCUACCACAUCCAAGGAAGGCAGCAGGCGCGCAAAUUACCCACUCCCGGCACGGGGAGGUAGUGACGAAAAAUAACGAUACGGGACUCAUCCGAGGCCCCGUAAUCGGAAUGAGUACACUCUAAAUCCUUUAACAAGGAUCAAUUGAAGGGCAAGUCUGGUGCCAGCAGCCGCGGUAAUUCCAGCUUCAAUAGCGUAUAUUAAAGUUGUUGCGGUUAAAAAGCUCGUAGUCGAAUUUGUGUCACGCACCGCCGGUUCAUCGUUCGCGGUGUUAACUGGCGUGUUGCGGGACGUCCUGCCGGUGAGUUUGUUCGUCAGAACAACUCAAUUUAAUCUUGCCACGGUGCUCUUCAUCGAGUGUCGAGGUGGGCCGGCACGUUUACUUUGAACAAAUUAGAGUGCUUAAAGCAGGCUAAAAUUUUGCCUGAAUACUGUGUGCAUGGAAUAAUAGAAUAGGACCUCGGUUCUAUUUUGUUGGUUUUCGGAACCCCGAGGUAAUGAUUAAUAGGAACGGAUGGGGGCAUUCGUAUUGCGACGUUAGAGGUGAAAUUCUUGGAUCGUCGCAAGACGGACUUAAGCGAAAGCAUUUGCCAAAAACGUUUUCAUUGAUCAAGAACGAAAGUUAGAGGUUCGAAGGCGAUCAGAUACCGCCCUAGUUCUAACCAUAAACGAUGCCAGCUAGCGAUCCGCCGACGUUCCUCCGAUGACUCGGCGGGCAGCUUCCGGGAAACCAAAGCUUUUGGGUUCCGGGGGAAGUAUGGUUGCAAAGCUGAAACUUAAAGGAAUUGACGGAAGGGCACCACCAGGAGUGGAGCCUGCGGCUUAAUUUGACUCAACACGGGAAACCUCACCAGGCCCAGACACCGGAAGGAUUGACAGAUUGAGAGCUCUUUCUUGAUUCGGUGGGUGGUGGUGCAUGGCCGUUCUUAGUUGGUGGAGCGAUUUGUCUGGUUAAUUCCGAUAACGAACGAGACUCUAGCCUGCUAACUAGGCGUAUUAGACAUCUUAAAGGCUCGCUUUGUCCAAAGUUCGCUUUGUGGCAUUAGCGUAGUUUUUACUGUCUGCGUACAUUAUAUUCUUCUUAGAGGGACAGGUGGCUUCUAGCCGCACGAGAUUGAGCAAUAACAGGUCAGUGAUGCCCUUAGAUGUUCUGGGCCGCACGCGCGCUACACUGAAGAAAUCAGCGUGUCUUCCCUGGCCGAGAGGCCCGGGUAACCCGCUAAACCUUCUUCGUGCUAGGGAUUGGGGCUUGCAAUUGUUCCCCAUGAACGAGGAAUUCCCAGUAAGCGCGAGUCAUAAGCUCGCGUUGAUUACGUCCCUGCCCUUUGUACACACCGCCCGUCGCUACUACCGAUUGAAUGAUUUAGUGAGGUCUUCAGACUGGUGCGCGGUAGCGUUUCGACGUCUUGCCGAUGUUGCUGGGAAGAUGACCAAACUUGAUCAUUUAGAGGA